This 269-nucleotide ribosomal RNA is filed under the name uncultured bacterium. RNAcentral describes it as "partial 16S ribosomal RNA". It matches the Rfam family "Bacterial small subunit ribosomal RNA", at positions 29 to 325 of the family's 1533-position model. The record is from RNAcentral.
AACGAACGCUGGCGGCAUGCCUAACACAUGCAAGUCGAACGAGACCUUCGGGUCUAGUGGCGCACGGGUGCGUAACACGUGGGAAUUUGCCUCGGGGUAUGGAAUAACUCAGGGAAACUUGAGCUAAUACCAUAUAAUGUCUUCGGACCAAAGAUUUAUCGCCCUGAGAUAAGCCCGCGUAGGAUUAGCUAGUUGGUGGGGUAAAGGCUCACCAAGGCGACGAUCCUUAGCUGGUCUGAGAGGAUGAUCAGCCACACUGGGACUGAGAC